AAGAAGAUUGGUUAUAGAAAUAGCUGCUAACUAAUUUCUAAAGCGGUUUAACUCCGUUUUCUUCUUA
This 67-nucleotide transfer RNA is filed under the name Paralaevicephalus gracilipenis. Its description in RNAcentral is "tRNA-Ser". The record is from RNAcentral. Lineage: Eukaryota; Metazoa; Arthropoda; Insecta; Hemiptera; Cicadellidae.